UCGCUCUCUGCCGAUCGCUAUAUCAAUAAGCGAAGAUGGCUUUUGGAGUCGUUUCCAUCUCCGCCUCAACCAGUCGUCUCCCCACCCCUCUCCUCAACAAGCUCCCACGUCUCCUCCUGGCGGCACCGGCCCAGAUCCCGCUUCUCCGUCGGUCAUCGCCUCCUCUGCUUUGAUUCUGAAACCCCCGACGUAGUGUUUGCAGACUUUCCCAACAAACAUGAAGAACACUAACAGACUAGAACUACUACAAAAUGGACUCAUGAUCAAGCAAAGUGCGAAUCAGCAUGACGCCAUGAAUUCUUUCACUGCAUUUCUUUUUGAAGAAGUAUCAAAUGUUCAUAACUUGAAGUUCAGAGUACAUAUGUGGCAGACAAUGUGGAUAUUGCAUUCAAGCAUUCCGAGCCUUUUUCAGAUAGUUAUCAGACACC
Musa acuminata subsp. malaccensis (wild Malaysian banana) is the source of this 428-nucleotide long non-coding RNA. RefSeq lists it as uncharacterized. The record is from RefSeq and is a predicted model, not a curated record. Lineage: Eukaryota; Viridiplantae; Streptophyta; Magnoliopsida; Zingiberales; Musaceae.